Molecule: ribosomal RNA, 683 nt
Filed under: Acarospora sp.
Lineage: Eukaryota; Fungi; Ascomycota; Lecanoromycetes; Acarosporales; Acarosporaceae
Description: SSU rRNA
Rfam family: Bacterial small subunit ribosomal RNA
Source: RNAcentral
UAGCUAAGGCUAGUUGCAUUUUUAAUGCAAUUUGUGUAUAUCUUAUAAAGUUCUAGAUAGAUAAAAAUGAUGAUGACAAUUUUCUAUCUAUUAGUCUUGACCAAAAAGCGUGCCAGCAGUCGCGGUAAGACGCAAAAGACUAGUGUUAUUCAUCUUUAAUAGGUUUAAAGGGUACCUAGACUGUAUAUCUAGCCCAUAAUGGGUACGGAUUUACUAGAGUUUUAUGUAAGAAGGUAGUAUUUAGGGUGUAGAGAUAGAAUAUUAUGAUACCUUAAGGACUGGUAAAAGCGAAAGCAACCUUCUAUGUAAAUACUGACGUUGAGGGACGAAGGCUUGGGUCGCAAUUAGGAUUAGAUACCCUAGUAGUCCAGGCAGAAAACUAUGAAUGCUAUGCGUUAGAGUAAUUUAGUGCGUAAAUGAAAAUAUAAGCAUUCCACCUCAAGAGUAAUGUGGCAACACAGGAACUGAAAUCAUUAGACCGUUUUUGAAACCAGUGAUGAAGUAUGUCGUUUAAUUCGAUAAUCCACGAAAAACCUUACCACAAUUUGAAUUAUUAUUUACAAGCGUUGCACGGCUGUCUUCAGUUAAUAUCGUGAGAUAAAGAUAUUCCUGUAAAUUAACGUAAACCCUUGUUUUAUUUUAAAAAUAAAAUAUUUUGUCUACCAUGUGGAUAUGACAAAAGG